This 232-nucleotide ribosomal RNA is filed under the name uncultured bacterium. Its description in RNAcentral is "partial 16S ribosomal RNA". It matches the Rfam family "Bacterial small subunit ribosomal RNA", at positions 29 to 245 of the family's 1533-position model. The record is from RNAcentral.
AGCGAACGCUGGCGGCGUGCUUAACACAUGCAAGUCGAGUGCGUAAUUUUCCCCGCCGCAAGGCGGGGAAGUGGGCGCACGGCGCACGGGUGCGUAACACGUGGGCAAUCUGCCCUCUGAUUGGGAAUAACUCGCCGAAAGGCGUGCUAAUACCGAAUAAUAUCUUUUGGCCUUCGGGCUGGGAGAUCAAAGGCCGCAAGGUCGUCAGAGGAGGAGCCCGCGCCCGAUUAGC